AUACCUAUUUGGAUGUGGUCAAUGGGCAAUCAAGGUCCAUGGCCUAGGUUCGUGACCUCCAUUGCACUCGGGAGGAGUGCUAGCCUAAGGUCGGCCCAAGUGGUCGAGCCUACAUAAUAAUUCGUGUUUGUUUACAUGUUCUUGGCUGAUUUUAAC
Molecule: small nuclear RNA, 156 nt
Organism: Solanum dulcamara
Lineage: Eukaryota; Viridiplantae; Streptophyta; Magnoliopsida; Solanales; Solanaceae
Product: U1 spliceosomal RNA
Exons: 1
Source: RefSeq, a predicted model, not a curated record